Molecule: ribosomal RNA, 405 nt
Filed under: uncultured bacterium
Lineage: Bacteria
Description: partial 16S ribosomal RNA
Rfam family: Bacterial small subunit ribosomal RNA
Source: RNAcentral
AUUGAACGCUGGCGGCAGGCUUAACACAUGCAAGUCGAACGAGUGGCGGACGGGUGAGUAAUGCUUGGGCAUCUAGCUUAUGGAGGGGGAUAACUACGGGAAACUGUAGCUAAUACCGCUUACCAUAGGAUGAGCCCUGGUGGGAUUCGGUAGUUGGUGAGGUAAAGGCUCACCAAUCCGACGAUCCCUAGCUGGUCUGAGAGGAUGACCAGCCACAAUGGGACUGAGACACGGUCCAGACUCCUACGGGAGGCAGCAGGGGGGAAUAUUGCGCAAUGGGGGAAACCUGACGCAGCCAUGCCGCGUGAAGGAAGAAGGCCUUCGGGUUGUAAAGUUCUUUCGGUAGCGAGGCGUUAACUACAGAAGAAGCACCGGCUAACUCCGUGCCAGCAGCCGCGGUAAUAC